AAGGAAAAGGGAGGAGAGAGUGAGCUGCAUGACUCAGAGCUCAGCAGCGAGGAGACACUGUAUUCUGCAUGCAAGAGGAGCAGCGGAGGCAGUGCUAAAGGAUUGCUAAGGAGGAAUAUGGAGCAAACACAGAAGGGGCUGGAGCAGAAGUAAGCUGUCACUGGACAGGCAAAGGACGGCGUGAGGAUGGAGGCUGCCAUGCUGGCGGGAAGUGAGAAAUAGGCCAAGUGAAUCAGCUUGCUGGAGGGUGAGUUUAGGAACUUAAGUGUUUAGUAUGACUGAAGGUGGCUGAGGGAAGGUUGAGUGAAGGUUUGCAGCAAGGACUGUGGAUGGGGAGCUUCAAAGGUCAAGAGGGCUGUGUUAAUGAACGAUUGCUUCAUUUCCCACUGGAGAAGUCCAGAGUAACCAUCUCCCAGCUUAAGGGAGAAGGCAAACCGGAGGGCUGCAAAUGAGAGAGAAAGCUUUUUUAAGACUGACCACGGGAGAUGAAGGUAGAGAAAAAGUGACAUAAGUCUCAGCAAACUUAACGAUUUAACCAAAAAAAUGCAGAAACAGUUGAAAAAAAGGAGGAUUAUUCAUCAUGAAGACCGGAAAUCUCAACUGUGAUACAAAUACGUCACAAGGUACCUGUUAAAGAUUUUUGACAAGCCAAUCUGGAAAGAACUUGUGCAACUGCUUUUUUUUUUAUUCUACUGGAUUUUUAAAGCUCAGACAACCUGCGUCACACGAUGGCCAUAAAGAAAGCUGCCGCCUCACGUUGACACAAGAUCCCAACAAAGUAGCCAGAGUUGGCUUCUUGGGUCAGCUAUGAAGCCCCUCGGAGACACUGGAAUGACUAAAAGGAGAAAAGCUGGAUGUUGACGUGGAACAGCCAAAUCGAAAGGAAGAAUCCAUUUCCACGAAACAAUGUGAUCGCCUUCCUCCUUUCGCUUGAGGAUAAUAGAGAUGAACAUGCUGGACUGAAAUGCUACUCUGAAUCUCUGUCAGGUGAGAUUAGCUGAUGUCCCUGAGGCUUAUGUUAUAAUUAUCUUGUCCUGGAGUGAUUGGAGCAAUUCCUGAUCUCAGAAAAUGGCCACGUUACAGAGAUUUGGCAGGUGGAGGACCUCUUGAGCACACACGCGAGGAGAUUCUUUAAUCAGCGUCGGCGCAAAGGGUUGCUGGACGGGUGGCGAACUUGUGCUCUUUGCUUUUGUCUCUAAGGUAGUUAAUGUCACCAGGGUGUUAAGUUAGAAACUGUCCAGUCUCUGACUGGACGACACAGUGCCACGCUCCCCGUUCAGCUGUGGACAAACCGGCUGUGUGUUAAUGUGGGGCACCCGUUAUGGCUUAACCGUUUCCUUUUGCACAUAUGUGGGUGUGACUAUCGAUUAGCGUGUGCUCACACUGAGCGUUGAAGACGGCUGUGUCAGACUGUGUGAGCGUCUGCAUGGAUUCUCCUCGCCAGUGACAGACCUGGACCAGAACAGCAGCGGGUGGAAGGGGGAAAGGGAGGCGAAGGAAAAGGAGAAGGAGCAAGAGGAGGUGACAGAAACACAAAGGACGGAGAGGGGGGAAACGCAACGAAAAUGCUCAGAUAAAGAGAAGAAACAAAGGAGUCUUUGGCUGCCACCCUGGUGCGAUGUGUGGCACUGUGCCCUCUGGUGGUGGGGUUCUGUGAUGGUAACCAUGAUACCCGGAAGCCACUAUGUCUGCAGCGCUCACAGCAGAGAGGAUGACUCAACUAAUGACCGCGAAGAGCGAAUUUUAGCUGUGCUGGGCAUCAUCGGGACCAUCCUAAAUCUGUUGGUGGUUAUAUUCGUCUACAUCUACACCUCCGUCACCUGAGGGUUCCCACAGGACCUCGACGAAAGAUGCUGGUGCCAAAGCCUCCUCCUGCCGCUGCAUCCCCGCCUCUGGAAGUAGUCGCGUACUUUUAGAGGGUUUGCUUCACUGGCUGUUGACAUGCAAAGUUUAGACAUCUGCAGGAACUCUAACUCCACUGCAGCAUGUAGGACAACGAUGGGGUGUUAAACCAAAACUGUGUUUUCACAUUUUAUAAAUAUUCACAUCUGUAAUACCCUAGUAAUCAAGGCGGAAAAACAGGUUUUUGCUCUGAAAUCUGACUUUGAGGCCUAAUCCUUGCUGUGGAAAUGCUAAGCUUUGAGCUUUUUUCUGUAUUUUUGAAAGAGUUGAGGUCAUCACUGCCACUGGAACUGCCAGCCAAUGUUACAAUCCCAUAGGAGCAACAGGAGAGCUCUUAGCUAACUGGAGAAAAUUAGAAGAUAGCGCCAUUACUUUUUUUGACACCAAACUGUCAAAAACUAAACCAGUAGCAGAACGCUUUGAGUCAAAUGGCACCUAAACAUCUCCUCAAACUGUACAUUUGUGUAAUUUAAGAAAGUAUAGCCAUUCCUAUAAGAAUAUCCAUUCCUUUUCAUUUUGUGGAGUUCAAGAAUUUAGUUUUACAUGGAACUGACGUGUCCGCACCUGAGCACACCUGAGGAGAGAUUCCUGGCUGUGCUGGGAGUCAUUGGGAUUGUCUUAAACCUGCUACUGCUUAUCUUUGUGUAUAUUUACACCUCCAUUUGAUGGAGCCUUGUAAAUAUGUAUUUCAAUUCGUCUUCUUCUUAUGGUGGCUUUUGAGAUUACUUGCACAUCUUCAGAUCAUUCAAAUUUUCAUAUUGCAACCACAAUUGUAAAUUUUAAAAAAUAUAUAAAAAAUUAGCUUGGUUCAUAAGUAAUAUCAGGUGAAUUUUAUGUGGAAUUGAGCUAAUAUGAAAGUGUUGGUUAUUUUAAUGAAAAAGCAAUGAUAUAGAGAGUUUUAGCAGGGAGACACUUUCUUUGUUUGGACUUCUCGACAGUGUCGACCUAUUCUCUGCAGUUUGUAUUUUUAUGAUCCAGAGCUUCAUGUGUGGUCAGUAAACUGUCUACCUAUGUUUGCAUUGCCUCAGUGAAAUAUUUUUUCACAAAAUUGGACCAAAAUUGAAAUAAACGCUAGUUUUCUAUUUCUUCUACAUGCUUACUGACACUGAAAUCAGGAAAAAAAAAAUAAAAAGUUACAAAAUUCUGUUGGUGAUUUGAUCCAUGCAGAAAACCUGCAUAUCAUUGAAGAUCACUCUGCUAAUGUUGGCUGUCACAGAGUGACGGGUAUUUUUAUGCUGUCACGUUUAUUUGAUUGGAUUAGAGACCCAGACAUGGAGGAGCGGCAUCGGAGAGAGCAGGCCCUGAAACUGAGGCAAAGCCACUUGGAUUUAGACAGCAGACAGUUAUGGCUGACCUCAAACAAAGUCGAAGAGGAGCGGCGGACAAAAGGAGGACAUAAAAACUUCGUGAAGGAGUCCACUAUCUGCUGCAAAACCAACGAGGGGGUUAAGAACCCGUUUCACUAUGCUGGAGCGACGUACCUAAACAGAUGUGAGUUUAGGUUGAAGCAACGCAUAUCUAAUGUUGAAGUGGACCCAAACACAGCUGACAGGAGAGCAGCACAGACUGGGCUGAAUCUGCACCACAUCCUGGUCGUUCUUUUCUCCACCAACAAACUAACGCCUGAGAAGACAUAAAAACUCAUCCAUUCCUGCUGCUGCUUUACAAACUGUUGUUAAGGAAACAGAUACAAUAAAAAAAAAAAAAAAAACAACUGCCCAUGUGUCUAUGUGCAAUUUAACAUGUUGGCUCAUGUGGAAAAGUGUUACGAUUUUUGAGUAAUUCUGUUAAAUUGUUGUCACGCAGUGUACUGUCUCUCUGCAGUUUCCCCUUUGUUUCUUUGGUUUACAAAUCCAGAGACCAGCAGCGUUGAACGAAGUUUGGACUGAAAGUGACAAUAUAUUUUUAUAAGGUGUUGAAGGUUCAAUGGGAACACCAUAGACAAAGAACAUUACAGAUAUUCAUGUGAAUGUUUAGAACAUAUACAUUUAGUUAUUUAACUUUAUCCCCCCCCCCAAAAAAAAAA
Molecule: long non-coding RNA, 3928 nt
Organism: Poecilia latipinna (sailfin molly)
Lineage: Eukaryota; Metazoa; Chordata; Actinopteri; Cyprinodontiformes; Poeciliidae
Exons: 2
Source: RefSeq, a predicted model, not a curated record